AAGUCGUAACAAGGUUUCCGUAGGUGAACCUGCGGAAGGAUCAUUACGUAUGGUAGGCCGGUCUGACCGGUUCUAUUCAACCCUGUUUUUUGCGCACCCUUUGUUUCCUCGGCAGGCUUGCCUGCCAGUAGGACCUUUUCAACCCUUUGUGUCAAAGCAAUCAGCGUCAAACAAACAAAACAAUGGUAACAACUUUCAACAACGGAUCUCUUGGUUCUG
This 219-nucleotide unclassified non-coding RNA is filed under the name air metagenome. Its description in RNAcentral is "partial contains small subunit ribosomal RNA, internal transcribed spacer 1, and 5.8S ribosomal RNA". The stretch from base 1 to 46 matches the Rfam family "Eukaryotic small subunit ribosomal RNA", at positions 1786 to 1831 of the family's 1831-position model. The record is from RNAcentral.